UGGGGGCUGUUUGGGCCCCAAUUUAUAAAAGGAAAGAUUGAGUUAUGUAAAUACAAACCUUGUUUGGGGUAGUGUUAUUAUAACCCUAGUUCUAGGGUUUCAAAACCUCUAUCGUACUCCUCCUCAACCCAUCUUACCCUUUCCGUUUUCCCUCUCAAUCCUUCUCAACUCCCCCAUAACCUUACCUCUCUCUCUCCCUUAAGUCUGCCGUAAUCUCUCCCUAAAUCCCUCGCCAACUCUCUCUUAGUCUGAGCUCAAUCCCUCAUUUCCACUUUCUUUUGCUUCGUCUUUAUUGUUUAGAGGUUCGUUUUUGUCUUUACCGUUUCAGAAGGUUGGUUAUCUUCUUUCCCAUUUUGAAAUUUGGUUUUCAUCGUUCCCCAUUCCGAAGGUUUGUUGAUUUCUUUCCCUGUUUUGAAGUUCUGUUUCAUUCUCCCCAUUCACUGUCUUUGCUCGUCCUCAACUCCCCCAUUUCAAAGGUUGGUUUUCCUCAUUUCUUCUUGCGUCUUCCAACCCCUCAACCUUGUCCUUAAUGAAUCCAUUUCUUUUUUUCCCCAAUCCCGGAUAUGAGAUGGGUUUACGUUUGUUGAUGGAAGCGUUUAUUUACUUUGCCUCUAAAAUGAUAUACCGUCCACUUUUGGGUUUCGUUGACUGGCUUCAUUUCCACGAUUGAGGCCUCUAAAACCUUUUUCGGUAACAACUAUGGUUCGUCACAUGGCUGGUCUUCUAGUCUUGUCACUCGGACUUUCCCUUGUCACUCGGACUUCCCCUUUAUUGAGAAAUGACGAAUGCUACAUCCUAAGUGGUAGUGGAUCGAUCCGAGCAAGGUAGGGAUUAAGUAUGCCCGAGAUCACAAUUUUUAAUUUACGAGGUACUAAGGUUUCCUUGUUUUAAAUUACUUUUUUUCCUGCGAUUUUUUAAAAAUUCAUUACAACAUUGUAAUAUGUAGGAAAGGUUACCCACACACAGUGACCAUGUAAACUUUGUAAUAGGACUACCAUAUUUUUUUCUAAUGUAGCGUAGAAGUUCAUUGUCCA
Molecule: long non-coding RNA, 1034 nt
Organism: Cucumis melo (muskmelon)
Lineage: Eukaryota; Viridiplantae; Streptophyta; Magnoliopsida; Cucurbitales; Cucurbitaceae
Exons: 2
Source: RefSeq, a predicted model, not a curated record